Molecule: ribosomal RNA, 457 nt
Filed under: Acinetobacter baumannii
Lineage: Bacteria; Pseudomonadati; Pseudomonadota; Gammaproteobacteria; Moraxellales; Moraxellaceae
Description: partial 23S ribosomal RNA
Rfam family: Bacterial large subunit ribosomal RNA
Source: RNAcentral
AUAACAGGCUGAUACCGCCCAAGAGUUCAUAUCGACGGCGGUGUUUGGCACCUCGAUGUCGGCUCAUCUCAUCCUGGGGCUGAAGCAGGUCCCAAGGGUAUGGCUGUUCGCCAUUUAAAGAGGUACGCGAGCUGGGUUUAGAACGUCGUGAGACAGUUCGGUCCCUAUCUACCGUGGGCGCUGGAAAUUUGAGAGGAUCUGCUCCUAGUACGAGAGGACCAGAGUGGACGAACCUCUGGUGUACCGGUUGUGACGCCAGUCGCAUCGCCGGGUAGCUAUGUUCGGAAGGGAUAACCGCUGAAAGCAUCUAAGCGGGAAGCCUACCUCAAGAUAAGAUUUCCCUAGGACUUUAUGUCCUCUAAAGAGCCGUUCGAGACUAGGACGUUGAUAGGUUGGAUGUGGAAGCAUAGUGAUAUGUGAAGCUGACCAAUACUAAUUGCUCGUGAGGCUUGACUAU